This 253-nucleotide ribosomal RNA is filed under the name uncultured bacterium. RNAcentral describes it as "partial 16S ribosomal RNA". It matches the Rfam family "Bacterial small subunit ribosomal RNA", at positions 524 to 776 of the family's 1533-position model. The record is from RNAcentral.
UACGAAGGGGGCUAGCGUUGCUCGGAAUCACUGGGCGUAAAGCGCACGUAGGCGGGUUCUUAAGUCAGGGGUGAAAUCCUGGAGCUCAACUCCAGAACUGCCUUUGAUACUGGGAAUCUCGAGUCCGGGAGAGGUGAGUGGAACUGCGAGUGUAGAGGUGAAAUUCGUAGAUAUUCGCAGGAACACCAGUGGCGAAGGCGACUUGCUGGAUCUUUGCUGACGCUGAGACGCGAAAGCGUGGGGAGCAAACAGG